UCAAGAAACUUCCACAAUGGGCGAAAGCCUGAUGGAGCGACGUCGCGUGAUGGACGAAGUGCUUCGGCACGUAAACAUCUUUUAUGUGGGAUGAAAUUAUUGACAGUACCACAUGAAUAAGGGGCUCCUAACUCUGUGCCAGCAGGAGCGGUAAUACAGAGGCCCCAAGCGUUAUCCGGAAUCACUGGGCGUAAAGGGUGUCGAGGCGGUUGUAUUAGUCGUUCGUAAAAUCUACGAGCUUAACUUGUAGGCGGCGAACGAAACGGUACGACUUGAGGUUUGGAGAGGUGCGUGGAACUCACGGUGUAGGGGUGAAAUCCGUUGAUAUCGUGGGGAACACCAAAGGCGAAGGCAGCGCACUGGCCAAAAUCUGACGCUCACACACGAAAAGCUAGGGUAGCGAAGAGGAUUAGAUACCCAUGUAGUCCCUGAGCGGGCUGGCAAGGCGCAU
Molecule: ribosomal RNA, 451 nt
Filed under: uncultured bacterium
Lineage: Bacteria
Description: bacterial SSU rRNA
Rfam family: Bacterial small subunit ribosomal RNA
Source: RNAcentral